UUAAAUCGCAUCAUAUGACCCCUUUAAGAUAAAUCUGAAUGGUUGAGUAAUUGCGCUUUAAAAAUAUAUCUUGGGUAUUUGUGUCAUUUUUUAUGUUUUCUGUUUAUGGCUUUUCUAACGCUGUAAUCAGGAUGCUAUUUGCCAAGCAAUCCAGAAGCUAUCGUUCUCGAUAUCGACUACAAGUCAGGAACACCUAUGCAGAGCGCUGCUAAAGCUCCUUAUUUGGCAAAAUUCAAAGUGAAGAGGUGUGGAGUUAGCGAGCUUGAAAAAGAGGGUCUGCGCUGCCCGUCAGACUCUCAGGAUGAAGGUGAGGAGAAUUCAGAGACGGCUCAAAAGGUCUGCUGGCAGGCGGCCAUCUUUAAAGUGGGUGAUGAUUGCAGAC
This is a long non-coding RNA of Sinocyclocheilus rhinocerous, 382 nucleotides long. RefSeq lists it as uncharacterized. Lineage: Eukaryota; Metazoa; Chordata; Actinopteri; Cypriniformes; Cyprinidae. The transcript is spliced from 3 exons. The record is from RefSeq and is a predicted model, not a curated record.